This 474-nucleotide ribosomal RNA is filed under the name uncultured bacterium. Its description in RNAcentral is "partial 16S ribosomal RNA". It matches the Rfam family "Bacterial small subunit ribosomal RNA", at positions 28 to 507 of the family's 1533-position model. The record is from RNAcentral.
GAUGAACGCUAGCGGCAGGCCUAACACAUGCAAGUCGAGGGAGGAGCUUUCGGGCUUCGACCGGCGUACGGGUGCGUAACGCGUAUACAAUCUGCCUUUCACAUAGGGAUAGCCCGAAGAAAUUUGGAUUAAUACCUAAUGGUAUAUAGGAGUGGCAUCACAUUUAUAUUAAAGCUGAGGCGGUGAAAGAUGAGUAUGCGUUCUAUUAGCUAGUUGGAGAGGUAACGGCUCCCCAAGGCGACGAUAGAUAGGGGUUCUGAGAGGGAUAUCCCCUACACUGGUACUGAGAUACGGACCAGACUCCUACGGGAGGCAGCAGUGAGGAAUAUUGGACAAUGGUCGGAAGACUGAUCCAGCCAUGCCGCGUGCAGGAAGACGGCCUUAUGGGUGGUAAACUGCUUUUGCAGGGGAAGAAUAAGGACUACGAGUAGUUUGAUGACGGUACUCUGCGAAUAAGCAUCGGCUAACUCCGUG